AACAGGUUUACAUAACUUUCUUAGGGUCCCACAGCUUGUAAGUGUCUGAGGUCAAAUUUGAAUUUAGGCCUUCCUAACUCCCAGCCUGGCUUCCUAGCCACUUUGCCACAUAGCUGCUUUAGUAUAGAGUAUGACAUUGCCCACUGAGGGCACUGAGAAAGAUUAAAUUACAGUCACAGUUCUCUGUUUAAGAAGGUAGGAAGAUAACCCACUUAAGGAAGAUUUCCAUAAGAAGUGUCUCAAUUUUUGAAAAAUAGUUUCAGUGCUUUAAGGAAUUUAAUCUGGGUUAUUUUGUGAAUCCACUGAUAGAGAACACCUCACUGGAUACAUGAGGCAUUACCAGACCUUUGGAAUCAUCUCCCCACAAGAGACCUGAUUCUGGUUGGAAAAGUUAAUACGAUAUCCAUCCUUAAACUAUGGGAGUGGAAACACCGAGGAAAAGCAACUGCCUGAAUACAGCGGUUGAGGGGACA
Molecule: long non-coding RNA, 473 nt
Filed under: Monodelphis domestica (gray short-tailed opossum)
Lineage: Eukaryota; Metazoa; Chordata; Mammalia; Didelphimorphia; Didelphidae
Description: lncRNA (ENSMODG00000036953.1)
Source: RNAcentral